UUUGUGGUUUGUGUGUGCUAUGAAUUUGCAGAGCUAAUGCAGAUAGAAGCCAGAAGAUUGGGAAUUAUUGAUCAAUGGUUCUUUAAGCUCUUCCUUCUCAUCACUGAUAUUGGAUCCGUGCAGCCUGUGUCAGGCGCUGAAUCUGUUCCAGGAAGGCAAAGUCAGUGGAAAGGAUACAAAGACUAAUGAGACUAAGGCUGCUGUGCUGGCUAUGGAUGAAUCAGUAUUAGAUGUAGAUCAGGUGGAAAAUCUCAUUAAGUUUUGUCCUACCAAAGAAGAGAUGGAACUUUUGAAGGGAUACACUGGUGACAAAGAGAAUUUGGAAAAAUGCGAACAAGUGUGUACUAAUUUGUUAUAGCCAUAUCAUUAUUUAUGAUAGCUAAUUUAGUGUAAAUCUAAGUACUCAGAAUUAUAUAGGAUACUGUUUGUAGGCUCCAUAACUAGGAUCCGUCUACCAGCAUUUGAUUUCUUAGACCCUUUACUUACUUUAAAAUCUGAUAGGGAGUUGGGAGGAAUGGUGGAGAAAUGAAGUAGAGAAGAGAGGAAACUUAUUUGAAGGGAAAAAAAAGAAAAAACAAUUGUUGGCAUGGAAAUUGGAAAUUGCAAAAUUCUGGGUAUAAAUAAUUAGCUGUAAAGGUUAAAGAACUGAAUGCGGCAAGGCUUUGAUUUUGGAAGUGAAUCUAACAUAUGAUAAUGAUCAAUAAAAUUGUGCAAGAAGUCUGUUUCCUUGGAAGGCAGCUCAUAUGAAUUCA
Molecule: non-coding RNA, 752 nt
Organism: Arachis ipaensis
Lineage: Eukaryota; Viridiplantae; Streptophyta; Magnoliopsida; Fabales; Fabaceae
Source: RefSeq, a predicted model, not a curated record